Ziziphus jujuba (common jujube) is the source of this 509-nucleotide long non-coding RNA. RefSeq lists it as uncharacterized. The transcript is spliced from 2 exons. Lineage: Eukaryota; Viridiplantae; Streptophyta; Magnoliopsida; Rosales; Rhamnaceae. The record is from RefSeq and is a predicted model, not a curated record.
UGGAGUUCAUCCACUCCGACGGACCUUUCUGCUCAAAAUAAAAGAUAUCCAUUUAAGAACCACCCACGAGUCGUCGUAAGCAAUCGGAAAAGGGUGUUCCGGAGCUCUCCUGUAAUCCACGGAGACCACGACGAUGUUUGCUGAAGCAGCUAAGGAGUUGAGGUAAUCGUGGUACGUAGGAGAGAAAGCGGUUUCGAUGCAGAAACUGCCUCCAUGGAAGUAAACAAGGAGGGGAAGCUUUUGGGAUGUGUUGAUUGCGGUUUUUGGGAUGUAGAGCCUUGCUGAUAAGCCUGUUUCGGCUGAAACGACUAUGUAUGUGGAUUCCACAUCGGUUUUCAGAUCGAGAGAUGGCGGAACGAUGUCAUUGCGUUUCAGUCGCUCAACUCGGCCAUCUUUGUAGACUUUGAUAAGAGGAGAUAAAUCUUGUGCUAUUUCGCUGCUCAUACCUUGGAAGAAGAAGUUGAGAGAAAAUAUGGAAAUGGAGGACUUUGUUUCAUGAAGAGUAUGAA